UACGUAGGGUGCGAGCGUUAAUCGGAAUUACUGGGCGUAAAGUGUGCGCAGGUGGCCGCGCAAGUCGAGUGUGAAAUCCCCGAGCUUAACUUGGGAAUUGCGCUCGAAACUACGUGGCUCGAGUGUGGCAGAGGAAGGUGGAAUUCCACGUGUAGCGGUGAAAUGCGUAGAGAUGUGGAGGAACACCGAUGGCGAAGGCAGCCUUCUGGGCCAACACUGACGCCCAUGCACGAAAGCGUGGGGAGCAAACAGG
Molecule: ribosomal RNA, 253 nt
Filed under: uncultured bacterium
Lineage: Bacteria
Description: partial 16S ribosomal RNA
Rfam family: Bacterial small subunit ribosomal RNA
Source: RNAcentral